GCAAGUCGAACGGUAAGGCCCUUCGGGGUACACGAGUGGCGAACGGGUGAGUAACACGUGGGUGAUCUGCCCUGCACUUCGGGAUAAGCCCGGGAAACUGGGUCUAAUACCGGAUAGGACUGCGCGGUGCAUGCCGUGUGGUGGAAAGAUUUAUCGGUGCAGGAUGGGCCCGCGGCCUAUCAGCUUGUUGGUGGGGUAAUGGCCUACCAAGGCGACGACGGGUAGCCGGCCUGAGAGGGCGACCGGCCACACUGGGACUGAGACACGGCCCAGACUCCUACGGGAGGCAGCAGUGGGGAAUAUUGCACAAUGGGCGCAAGCCUGAUGCAGCGACGCCGCGUGAGGGAUGACGGCCUUCGGGUUGUAAACCUCUUUCAGCAGGGACGAAGCGCAAGUGACGGUACCUGCAGAAGAAGCACCGGCCAACUACGUGCCAGCAGCCGCGGUAAUACGUAGGGUGCAAGCGUUGUCCGGAAUUACUGGGCGUAAAGAGCUCGUAGGCGGUUUGUCGCGUCGUCUGUGAAAACCAGCAGCUCAACUGUUGGCUUGCAGGCGAUACGGGCAGACUUGAGUAUUUCAGGGGAGACUGGAAUUCCUGGUGUAGCGGUGAAAUGCGCAGAUAUCAGGAGGAACACCGGUGGCGAAGGCGGGUCUCUGGGAAAUAACUGACGCUGAGGAGCGAAAGCGUGGGUAGCGAACAGGAUUAGAUACCCUGGUAGUCCACGCCGUAAACGGUGGGCGCUAGGUGUGGGUUUCCUUCCACGGGAUCCGUGCCGUAGCUAACGCAUUAAGCGCCCCGCCUGGGGAGUACGGCCGCAAGGCUAAAACUCAAAGGAAUUGACGGGGGGCCCGC
Molecule: ribosomal RNA, 853 nt
Filed under: Rhodococcus sp. UAPS0129
Lineage: Bacteria; Bacillati; Actinomycetota; Actinomycetes; Mycobacteriales; Nocardiaceae
Description: bacterial SSU rRNA
Rfam family: Bacterial small subunit ribosomal RNA
Source: RNAcentral